GAGCGAUAUGACGACGAACCGGAAGUAGUUCGAUGUCGCCACCAGCUGAAGCUCGAAAGCUAAAUGGACCUCAAACUACUUCGUUUGAUUAUUACCUAACGCGAAAUCCAUGGCUGCGAUGCGUUGUUAUCUGCACUGUCCUCCAGGAUGGGUAUGUGCACAUUGAACUGCAGCAGGAAGAACAGCUGGAGCAUGUCCUGAAAUGUUUUUCAAGCACCUUUACAGAGGAUUUGCUGUUAAAAGAUGAAUCCUCCUCGUCCGUCCUCCAUCUGAUCUCCUGACAGCUCCAGGAACUGCGGUGCAUAUUGGCUGGGCAGUAGCUUUGCAGUUUGAUGGCCAAUUUGCCGGCACCUCCCUCAUGAGCAGACAGCACUGAAGCUGCCCCGAGUGCCAAUUUACAAGUACUUGGAAACCAACACCUACUGAGAAAGAAGAGGGUGAGAAAAUGAUAAAAGGCAGAGAGAAAGUUGGGCUUGAUCAGCCCACUUUUCCAGGGAACGGUUGCAGCUGGGUAAAACCGCUCCGAAGGGAGGAAGGACCCGGAACAGAAGCUUCUGUGCUUCCCUGUUUAUCUGCCUCAUCGUGUUACGAAGUGACGGACCAGUACAGAAGAAAAUAGAUGUGCAAGUCUGACAUUUAAUGUGAAAUGUAAAGAGAAAUAAAGACAUCCUAAAAGAAAAGCUAACAUGUUGAUGUCAAGUAUUUCCUUAUGUUUUUUUUCCCAGAAUGCAGUAGUAACUAGGAUCUUGCAACACAUGUUUAGCAAAAAUAUGUCAGAAAUCUGUUUAUUCUGAAGGAAACUUUCCCUGCUUCGUAUUUUGUGAUUGAUUUUUAAGUUUCUUGCCUGUUUAAAGUCACGUAGCAGAAUCCCUUUGACACUGGAGUCUACAAUCUGGUCUCACAUUUUCAUUAGAUAGAAAACAUUUUUGA
Long non-coding RNA from Poeciliopsis prolifica (blackstripe livebearer), 930 nucleotides. RefSeq lists it as uncharacterized. The transcript has 3 exons. Lineage: Eukaryota; Metazoa; Chordata; Actinopteri; Cyprinodontiformes; Poeciliidae. The record is from RefSeq and is a predicted model, not a curated record.